AGAGUUUGAUCCUGGCUCAGAGCGAACGCUGGCGGCAGGCCUAACACAUGCAAGUCGAACGAACCCUUCGGGGGUUAGUGGCGGACGGGUGAGUAACACGUGGGAACGUACCUUUAGGUUCGGAACAACACAGGGAAACUUGUGCUAAUGCCGAAUGUGCCCUUCGGGGGAAAGAUUUAUCGCCUUUAGAGCGGCCCGCGUCUGAUUAGCUUGUUGGUGAGGUAAAAAGCUCACCAAGGCUACGAUCAGUAGCUGGUCUGAGAGGAUGAUCAGCCACACUGGGACUGAGACACGGCCCAGACUCCUACGGGAGGCAGCAGUGGGGAAUCUUGCGCAAUGGGCGAAAGCCUGACGCAGCCAUGCCGCGUGAAUGAUGAAGGUCUUAGGAUUGUAAAAUUCUUUCACCGGGGAAGAUAAUGACGGUACCCGGAGAAGAAGCCCCGGCUAACUUCGUG
This 455-nucleotide ribosomal RNA is filed under the name uncultured bacterium. RNAcentral's name for it is "bacterial SSU rRNA". It matches the Rfam family "Bacterial small subunit ribosomal RNA", at positions 8 to 507 of the family's 1533-position model. The record is from RNAcentral.